GUACACUCCUGCGGGAGGCAGCAGUGGGGAAUUUUGGACAAUGGGCGAAAGCCUGAUCCAGCAAUGCCGCGUGUGUGAAGAAGGCCUUCGGGUUGUAAAGCACUUUUGUCCGGAAAGAAAUCCUUGGCUCUAAUACAGUCGGGGGAUGACGGUACCGGAAGAAUAAGCACCGGCUAACUACGUGCCAGCAGCCGCGGUAAUACGUAGGGUGCGAGCGUUAAUCGGAAUUACUGGGCGUAAAGCGUGCGCAGGCGGUUUGCUAAGACCGAUGUGAAAUCCCCGGGCUCAACCUGGGAACUGCAUUGGUGACUGGCAGGCUAGAGUAUGGCAGAGGGGGGUAGAAUUCCACGUGUAGCAGUGAAAUGCGUAGAGAUGUGGAGGAAUACCGAUGGCGAAGGCAGCCCCCUGGGCCAAUACUGACGCUCAUGCACGAAAGCGUGGGGAGCAAACAGGAUUAGAUACCCGAGUAGUCCCAUGAU
RNAcentral lists this ribosomal RNA (479 nucleotides) under uncultured organism. RNAcentral's name for it is "partial 16S ribosomal RNA". It matches the Rfam family "Bacterial small subunit ribosomal RNA", at positions 331 to 801 of the family's 1533-position model. The record is from RNAcentral.